This is a non-coding RNA of Trichonephila inaurata madagascariensis, 73 nucleotides long. Lineage: Eukaryota; Metazoa; Arthropoda; Arachnida; Araneae; Nephilidae. The record is from the annotation of a GenBank genome assembly.
GUCCUUGUAGCGCAAUGGAUAGCGCGUUGGACUUCGAAUCCAAAUAUCGUGGGUUCGAAUCCUACCUGGGGUG